This 251-nucleotide ribosomal RNA is filed under the name uncultured bacterium. Its description in RNAcentral is "partial 16S ribosomal RNA". It matches the Rfam family "Bacterial small subunit ribosomal RNA", at positions 524 to 776 of the family's 1533-position model. The record is from RNAcentral.
UACGUAGGGUGCAAGCGUUAAUCGGAAUUACUGGGCGUAAAGCGUGCGCAGGCGGUUUUGUAAGUUUGUCGUGAAAGCCCCGGGCUCAACCUGGGAAUUGCGAUGAAGACUGCAAGGCUUGAAUCUGGCAGAGGGGGUAGAAUUCACGUGUAGCAGUGAAAUGCGUAGGGAUGUGGAGGAACACCGAUGGCGAAGGCAGCCCCCUGGGUCAAGAUUGACGCUCAUGCACGAAAGCGUGGGGAGCAAACAGG